RNAcentral lists this ribosomal RNA (253 nucleotides) under uncultured bacterium. Its description in RNAcentral is "partial 16S ribosomal RNA". It matches the Rfam family "Bacterial small subunit ribosomal RNA", at positions 524 to 776 of the family's 1533-position model. The record is from RNAcentral.
UACGGAGGGAGCUAGCGUUGUUCGGAAUUACUGGGCGUAAAGCGCGCGUAGGCGGCCCGCUAAGUCGAACGUGAAAUCCCCGAGCUCAACUCGGGAACUGCGUCCGAUACUGGCGGGCUUGAAUCCGGGAGAGGGAUGCGGAAUUCCAGGUGUAGCGGUGAAAUGCGUAGAUAUCUGGAGGAACACCGGUGGCGAAGGCAGUUCUCUGGGCCGUAACUGACGCUGAGGAGCGAAAGCGUGGGGAGCGAACAGG